Molecule: ribosomal RNA, 252 nt
Filed under: uncultured bacterium
Lineage: Bacteria
Description: partial 16S ribosomal RNA
Rfam family: Bacterial small subunit ribosomal RNA
Source: RNAcentral
UACGGAGGAUGCGAGCGUUAUCCGGAUUUAUUGGGUUUAAAGGGUGCGUAGGCGGUCCGUUAAGUCAGCGGUAAAAUUGCGGGGCUCAACCCCGUCGAGCCGUUGAAACUGGCAGACUUGAGUUGGCGAGAAGUACGCGGAAUACGCGGUGUAGCGGUGAAAUGCAUAGAUAUCGCGCAGAACUCCGAUUGCGAAGGCAGCGUACCGGCGCCAGACUGACGCUGAGGCACGAAAGCGUGGGGAUCGAACAGG